AAUACCCGAUGUUGUCCACAUAUGGCAUCUGACGUGGACCAAAGAUUCAUAGGUGGAGGAUGGGGAUGCGUCUGAUUAGCUUGUUGGUGCGGGUAACGGCCCACCAAGGCGACGAUCAGUAGGGGUUCUGAGAGGAAGGUCCCCCACAUUGGAACUGAGACAUGGUCCAAACUCCUACGGGAGGCAGCAGUGAGGAAUAUUGGUCAAUGGACGUAAGUCUGAACCAGCCAAGUAGCGUGCAGGAUUGACGGCCCUAUGGGUUGUAAACUGCUUUUGUUGGGGAGUAAAGUGAGGCACGUGUGCCUUUUUGCAUUUACCCUUCGAAUAAGGACCGGCUAAUUCCGUGCCAGCAGCCGCGGUAAUACGGAAGGUCCAGGCGUUAUCCGGAUUUAUUGGGUUUAAAGGGAGUGUAGGCGGUCUGUUAAGCGUGUUGUGAAAUUUAGGUGCUCAACAUCUACCUUGCAGCGCGAACUGGCGGACUUGAGUGCACGCAACGUAUG
RNAcentral lists this ribosomal RNA (500 nucleotides) under uncultured Bacteroidales bacterium. Its description in RNAcentral is "bacterial SSU rRNA". It matches the Rfam family "Bacterial small subunit ribosomal RNA", at positions 165 to 661 of the family's 1533-position model. The record is from RNAcentral. Lineage: Bacteria; Pseudomonadati; Bacteroidota; Bacteroidia; Bacteroidales.